Molecule: long non-coding RNA, 931 nt
Filed under: Populus trichocarpa (black cottonwood)
Lineage: Eukaryota; Viridiplantae; Streptophyta; Magnoliopsida; Malpighiales; Salicaceae
Description: long non-coding RNA (PTRI_LNC002401)
Source: RNAcentral
CCUAAUGCCACCGUGCGAUAUCCAAGAUUUAUUCCUCUAGAUGUCUUCACAGCUUCCAGCUCUAUCUCAUUUGCGGGCAUAGAAAUGCCCUUUUGUCCAUGUGGUUUGCAAGCCAAGCCUUCCACACAAACUACAAGCACCGCCAUCCCACUUUGUUUAGAGAUACCAAGGUAGAGAAACAAGAUCCACAUGUUGAACUCUCUCUCUCGAAGCGAAAAACCACCAUCUCGGACCACCGGAUUCUUCUUGGGUGUACCAGAUUUUCUAAACCCUAAAUCACCAUCAACUUGAGUAAUACUCUUAAGCUUUCUAAACUGACGAGGCAAUUCAAUCUUCAAGUCCUCCUUCAAAACCCCUCCAUUCAACUUAGUUUUAACAGUAGACGUGUUCCUAAUAACCCCAAAAAUCUCCACCUCAUCUUCUCCCUCAUAAUUAUUGCAUCACAUGCUUCUCCAAGUAAUCACACAUCCUCAAAAUCAUCAUCUUUAGUGUAGUCUCCACGACCAUUAGCAUAGCAUAUUUCAGGUAUAAAAGCAAUUUAAUCACAAGAUUCUGUCAUUUAAUGACUUGCUUCCCAUUCAUAACUGCAUCUCAUAACAUUGCCUUGUUUCUUUGGGUUUUGGUGUGACAGUGCAGUUGUCGAGGUAUAUCAUGGAUCAGUGGUUUGUUAAUUAUGGGGUUGAUUCUUUAUCAAAGACUCAGAAUUCAACAUUUAAAAUAGGCAACAACCCGCUUUUCACAUCUGUCACGUCUCGCCCUCCAGCUCUAAAACAAUGUAGACACGAAGGGGCUUCUUCCGGUGCACACUAUACAAAGAUAUACUGUUUUUUUUAGUAAUUUAUAUUUUUUUUCUAAUCGUAGGGAAGACAACUAUCUUUAUCUCUUGCAGAUCGAAAGAAGAAGAAAGGGGGAAGAGUUGAAUUAGGUGCAU